Long non-coding RNA from Neodiprion virginianus, 1513 nucleotides. RefSeq lists it as uncharacterized. The transcript is spliced from 2 exons. The record is from RefSeq and is a predicted model, not a curated record. NCBI's taxonomy places the organism in Eukaryota, Metazoa, Arthropoda, Insecta, Hymenoptera, Diprionidae.
AACCUGUGACUACAAGUUGUAUAGAUGAUCUUGAAACAUUUGAAUGCCGAGUUAUUACAAGUUCAAGUUUUUUAAAGUAAGGAGUCGAGAUUAAGGUCUGAGGAAGGACCACGAAUUCGACCGAGAGACGCGGGAAGAGAACGAGACGCGUACGCGCCGGCCGACGGCCAUAAACUUGACUCGAUGCUGCUCUCUUCUCGAAACCAACACCGACACCGACACACACUGACUCUGGUUACAGAAACUCGGUCCCGGCACAAAGAACGCGCGACAGUGUUGCCAACACACGAUCUUUCAAACGUCGCUGACCGUGCACAGCACCGUAUGCUUCCCAGGGACGUAAUGUUAAGUCCCAGAGCCCGGACCCCGAUUUUGUAGUAUAAAAACUCGGCAAAUUACCCUAUAAACUGGACGGUACUGAAAAUUUCAAGAAAUUUUCUUCCACGGUACUCGGACCUUUCGGCAGUCGUUUACGAUAUUACAACACUUGUGACUGCCGUAAUGUAGAAUACUAAAGGAGCGGAAUUAACAGCUCGACGAAUUAACGUGGUAUCGUCUGUUUCAAUUUGCAUAAUCAACGAAUCGAGUAAAGUUCAUCUAAUAGAAAAAUCGGCUGAAUUGGUAAUCAAACUUUCCAAAAAUUAUCCGACAAUAUAUUCCAACUACAGAAUCAAAAAAAUUGACGUCAAAAUCAAGGUUGGAGUAGGUUCAUUUCCCCAUGGCAAAAAAGACAAACAAAGAGAUCGCGAGUUUGGAUAAACAAUGUUGUAUGAAAUUACGCAGGUCCAGAAUAAUGCGAAAACCAGGUACGAUGUAAAUCGUAUCGCGUGCUUUUAGUAAUGUACAAUCAUUUUUCGCCGAUCGGAAGCGCGGCGCAUUUUAGCGAGAGACGAACACAUGCCAAUCCGCAUUUCCUUGGAGAUUCAUAUAUAUACGUGUCGUUCUCUGUCUGACGGGUUUGAAAAAAAUCGAAUCCGAAAAGCCGUUGGAACGAACCGGACUUUGAUUCGAGAAUUCACGAUGCGUACUCCGAGCGGCCGACAAACAGGCGGCUCGAUAUUCCGUUACCUCCAACGUUUCCGCGGCAAGGCAUGUAUUAUACCCGAGUGAGGAAUUUCCUCUCGCUGCCAGCUCGAAAUUUUCGUCAAAUUACGAAGCGGCGCGCGUUCGCCUGACGUAAGCUUGGCAACGGCGCUUUCAUCAAACUGCCUAACGCUCUGCUCGGUUCCUGCUCUUCUACCACCACCGGCUGCAUCGGUCGGCUAGCCGUCAGGAUCGGGAGGAGAGGCGGUUUCACGGAACAAGGGGAGAGGUAGAAAAGAGACGAGAGAAAAGUGGGGAAUGAAAGAGAGAAAAAGAGACGGACACAAAGCCGGAUAGGAACCUUGGGAGAUUCGAAAUAUUUCCAAAAUUCGCCGGAGGGAAAAAGUGGAAUGGAAAAAAAAAUAAAACCGUACGAAACGAUGAUUCCUUUCCAUUAUCAUGGGGAAAAAAAGUAAACCACAAUUUCCAA